ACCAGACUCCUACGGGAGGCAGCAGUGAGGAAUAUUGGUCAAUGGGCGGGAGCCUGAACCAGCCAAGUCGCGUGAGGGAAGACGGUCCUAUGGAUUGUAAACCUCUUUUGUCGGGGAGCAAAGAGGCCACGUGUGGUCAAAAGCGAGAGUACCCGAAGAAAAAGCAUCGGCUAACUCCGCGCCAGCAGCCGCGGUAAUACGGAGGAUGCGAGCGUUAUCCGGAUUUAUUGGGUUUAAAGGGUGCGCAGGCGGAAGAUCAAGUCGGGGGUAAAAUUGAGAGGCUCAACCUCUUCGAGCCGUUGAAACUGGUUUUCUUGAGUGAGUGAGAAGUAUGCGGAAUGCGUGGUGUAGCGGUGAAAUGCAUAGAUAUCACGCAGAACUCCGAUUGCGAAGGCAGCAUACCGGCGCUCAACUGACGCUCAUGCACGAAAGUGUGGGUAUCGAACAGGAUUAGAUACCCUAGUAUCC
Molecule: ribosomal RNA, 468 nt
Filed under: uncultured bacterium
Lineage: Bacteria
Description: bacterial SSU rRNA
Rfam family: Bacterial small subunit ribosomal RNA
Source: RNAcentral